AAAAACUUUAACCUUUGAUACUUAUUAACUUCUAAAUUUCUUUGCAUUCUAGUUUCAUAUUGUUCUUGGUGUGAUAAUGUUUAUGAAAAGUAUUUGUCUUGGCAUGUGUUUGGACAAAUCUGUUAUUGGCUGCUGAUUAGAUAAGCUUUGAGUAGAAAUUCAUUUCUAUGUGAGAUUUUGAUAGCUGGCAUUCUCUUAUGAAAAAUUUGAAUCUACCAUAAGGUUUAAAAUGGGAUUAUUAGUCCAUUUGGCAGUCCAAAUCUUUUAACAGUCUCUUUGGAUGGGGUUGAAAGAUGGGUAAGUGAGGGUAAGUGAGGAAUGAGUAAGGCUAUAAGCUUGUCAAUUUAAGGUGAGGUGUAACUACGGGGAAGCUUUCCCCAUAAUGGCUUCAUAUUCUUAAACCUCGAAUUGAGGUGUAAGGAUGGAGAAGUAAAAGCUACAGUGUUUAAAAACUUUUGUUUUGUCAAUUUUAUCCUCAUCUAAAAAUUGGUAAUUCCAAACUGCCCUUACACAUAAAAUUCUAAAUUGUCUGCAAACUUAACAAAAUUUCUGUCUGGUCGU
This 561-nucleotide unclassified non-coding RNA is filed under the name Hevea brasiliensis (rubber tree). The record is from RNAcentral. Lineage: Eukaryota; Viridiplantae; Streptophyta; Magnoliopsida; Malpighiales; Euphorbiaceae.